This 380-nucleotide ribosomal RNA is filed under the name uncultured eukaryote. Its description in RNAcentral is "partial 18S ribosomal RNA". It matches the Rfam family "Eukaryotic small subunit ribosomal RNA", at positions 592 to 976 of the family's 1831-position model. The record is from RNAcentral.
CAAUAGCGUAUAUUAAAGUUGUUGCGGUUAAAAAGCUCGUAGUUGGAGUUCUGCCAGGUGACACUCGUCCGCCCAAGUGGUGUGUACAGGGUGUGCAUCUGGCCCUUUCAAGGGGAACGUGUCUGCACUUCAUUGUGUGGUGCGAGAUCCUUGACUUUUACUUUGAGGAAAUAAGAGUGUUCCAAGCAGGCUCUCGUCGUGCAUAGCUCAGCAUGGAAUAAUAGCAUUGGACUUCGUUUCUACGCUGUUGGUUGCAAGAAGCGAGGUAAUGAUGAAGAGGGAUAGUUGGGGGCAUUCGUAUUUAACUGUCAGAGGUGAAAUUCUUGGAUUUGUUAAAGACAGACUACUGCGAAAGCAUCUGCCAGGGAUGUUUUCAUUGA